AGAUUAAGUUAUUAAGGGCGCACGGUGGAUGCCUUGGCACUAGAAGCCGACGAAGGACGUUACUAACGACGAUAUGCUUUGGGGAGCUGUAAGUAAGCUUUGAUCCAGAGAUUUCCGAAUGGGGAAACCCAGCACGAGUUAUGUCGUGUUAUCUGCAUGUGAAUACAUAGCAUGCAAGAAGGCAGACCCGGAGAACUGAAACAUCUUAGUACCCGGAGGAAGAGAAAGAAAAAUCGAUUCCCUGAGUAGCGGCGAGCGAAACGGGAAGAGCCCAAACCAAUAAGCUUGCUUAUUGGGGUUGUAGGACACUCUGUACGGAGUUACAAAAGAAUUUGUUAGACGAAUAACCUGGAAAGGUUAAUCAGAGAAGGUAAUAAUCCUGUAGUCGAAAACGAAUUCUCUCUUGAGUGGAUCCUGAGUACGACGGAGCACGUGAAAUUCCGUCGGAAUCUGGGAGGACCAUCUCCUAAGGCUAAAUACUCUCUAGUGACCGAUAGUGAACCAGUACCGUGAGGGAAAGGUGAAAAGUACCCCGGAAGGGGAGUGAAAGAGAACUUGAAACCGUGUGCUUACAAGUAGUCAGAGCCCGUUAAUGGGUGAUGGCGUGCCUUUUGUAGAAUGAACCGGCGAGUUACGAUCUGAUGCAAGGUUAAGCAGAAAAUGUGGAGCCGUAGCGAAAGCGAGUCUGAAUAGGGCGAAUGAGUAUUUGGUCGUAGACCCGAAACCAGGUGAUCUACCC
RNAcentral lists this ribosomal RNA (739 nucleotides) under Staphylococcus pseudintermedius. RNAcentral's name for it is "partial 23S ribosomal RNA". It matches the Rfam family "Bacterial large subunit ribosomal RNA", at positions 1 to 735 of the family's 2925-position model. The record is from RNAcentral. Lineage: Bacteria; Bacillati; Bacillota; Bacilli; Caryophanales; Staphylococcaceae.